RNAcentral lists this long non-coding RNA (1124 nucleotides) under Homo sapiens (human). Its description in RNAcentral is "non-protein coding LINC02588:24". Lineage: Eukaryota; Metazoa; Chordata; Mammalia; Primates; Hominidae. The record is from RNAcentral.
UGUCCCCAUUUUAUGAGGUAGUUUAGGUUUAAAGAUAUUAGAAAUUUACCCAAAGUUACGCAGUUAUAAACAUUGUAGUAAUUUCAAACUCAGGUCUUCGUGACUGCAAAGGCUGCUGUCUUAAGUAUUGUAAUACAUUAGAGCUCCGGAUUCCCUCCCACUCAAAACAGAGACUGAGACUCCAACCAAUUUCCACCAUUAUUGGGAGUCAAACGAGAGAGACUGUGGCAAUGUAUUCUAAGCUGUACAAAGGUAUAAACAUAUUCACUAGAUUUGUAGAAUGAAGUUAUUCCUUCCCUAUACUUUCCACUACAACAAUUCAGCCAAAAAGAUGGCUUUCAUACUAAGCAUAAGAAGGAACUUCACUGUAAUUAUGAUAUUCUAACCAAGAAUAUAUGCAUAUCUAGGCAAUAACCAAAGUGAAUAGAAUAAAAUUUAAUUCCUGAUAGAUUAAAUAGGCAAUAGCAAGGAAUGCUAACGCUCCUCAUAGCGUUCUUGUUGGAAGAAUCAUCUAGGAGGCAUUGGGAUUUCUGGUGCUUUUUAAGCAAUGAGAGAUAUCAGUCCACUGAAUGAGGAAGAGAAUAACGUUUAGUUUCGGACUAAAAGUUCAUCUGGACUACGGAAAACACGUUUGCCUCAAUCAGUGAAGAAGGUAUGCUGAGAGCUGAAAGAAAAGGAAAGCAGCAACAGUGAGAGCUCAGAAAUUCCCAGACUGUUUUGAUGAUAAGGUCCAAGAACUUGCCAUGUGAUCCAUCACUACUAGACUCCCACAACUGCAUUAGAUUUGUUCAGGAUUUUCAUAUAAUUUUCAUAACUGGCUAAGCAUUGGAAAUGGAUGGGGAGAAGGCCUGAUGAAAAUUACUGAGGAAGCCUCUUAGCCUAUGUGCUCUGAGAGUAGUGACACCUAGCAGUCGUUCAAAAGAUGAUCAAGAGGAGCAUGAAAAAAUCCCCUGAAUCCAUUGGCUUUCUUCCCUAUACUGACAACAGUUUACUUGUGUAAGAGAUGCAUGCCUCGACUCCGGACCCCUUCUUUCAUCUGCAAAAUCAGCAGCACCCUCACAUCAUCUCCUGUAACAAACUCUCUCUGUCUCCUCCAUAUAAGGUCACUGAUGGUUACAUUUAGG